Molecule: long non-coding RNA, 157 nt
Organism: Manacus vitellinus (golden-collared manakin)
Lineage: Eukaryota; Metazoa; Chordata; Aves; Passeriformes; Pipridae
Exons: 3
Source: RefSeq, a predicted model, not a curated record
CUGUGUCCGUCAUCGCUGCCAUCAUCAUCAUCAUCGGCCUCGUGGCAGUCGGUGUCUGGAAGCUCCGAUCCGGGAAGAGGGAGGGGAAUGGAUACGACCCCGCGCCCACCAGAAUCACGGCCUGAGCGAUCCCAGAGCUGGAUCCACCCCUUCCCUC